UACGUAGGGUGCAAGCGUUAAUCGGAAUUACUGGGCGUAAAGCGUGCGCAGGCGGUUAUAUAAGACAGGUGUGAAAUCCCCGGGCUCAACCUGGGAACUGCAUCUGUGACUGUAUAGCUAGAGUACGGUAGAGGGGGAUGGAAUUCCGCGUGUAGCAGUGAAAUGCGUAGAUAUGCGGAGGAACACCGAUGGCGAAGGCAAUCCCCUGGACCUGUACUGACGCUCAUGCACGAAGGCGUGGGGAGCAAACAGG
Molecule: ribosomal RNA, 253 nt
Filed under: uncultured bacterium
Lineage: Bacteria
Description: partial 16S ribosomal RNA
Rfam family: Bacterial small subunit ribosomal RNA
Source: RNAcentral